RNAcentral lists this unclassified non-coding RNA (354 nucleotides) under Hevea brasiliensis (rubber tree). Lineage: Eukaryota; Viridiplantae; Streptophyta; Magnoliopsida; Malpighiales; Euphorbiaceae. The record is from RNAcentral.
AAAAGUUUGACAUGGAUAUAUCUAUUUCUAUAGUAGUGGUUGUUGGAAAAAAAAUUAUUCAAACCAUAUUAUAUAAUUAUUUAUUUAUUUUAUUCUACUCUAAAUAAAGUUUUAAUUCGAAUUCUUUACAAAUUACACAAUCUGUAUGCAAACAAUUGCAAAUUCAUAUGUACUCUUGUCCCUUCCCAGCAGAAAUUAUUUUUUUCUUUUUUAAAAUAAUCUCUAUAAUUAAUUUUAUUUAUUAGUAUCAUAAUUAACAAAUUAAUUCUCAUGUUUAAGUACCAUGUGAAAGGGACUGAAUCAAAGUAGCAUAACAUGUAUUUUUCCACUUUUUAUAUUAAAUAAUAAAACAAA